AGGUCUUGGUCUUAAACCUCACAUUACCUAAAAUCAUCUGUUUAUACAUGCAAGCCUCCCCAUGACAGUGAAACAGCCACAACAACUGAGCCGGCAUCAGUCUUUCAACCUACCAUGACGCCAAGCAAUAGCCACACCCCCACGGGUAGUACAGCAGUAGUUAACAUUUGGCCAUAAGUGAAAACUUGACCAAGCAAGAUGAACAUAGGGCCGGUUAAUCUCGUGCCAGCGACCGCGGUUACACGAUAGGCCCAAGGCAAUAUCAACGGCGUAAAAAUGACUAAAAUACCAGUCCCAACUUGGGGAAGAAGGCAGGCCGGGCUGUAAAAAGCUAUAAGCCGCAGUAACACCAUCCCCCAACACCACACGAAUUUGACUCAUGAAAAUUAGGACACAAACUAGGAUUAGAUACCCUACUAUGCCUAAUCGUAACACACAAUUAAACUACCAAUUGUUCGCCAAACAACUACGAGUCCUACUUAAAACUUAAAAGACUUGACGGUACUUCACCACGCCCUAGAGGAGCCUGUCUAAUAACCGAUAAUCCACGAUUAACCCGACCCCCCCUCGCCUAACAGUCUAUAUACCGCCGUCGUCAGCUUACCUUGUAAAAGAGAAAAAGUAAGCCAAAUAGCACCACUAACACGACAGGUCGAGGUGUAACUUAUGGGGGGGGCUAAGAUGGGCUACAUUCUCAACCGAGCAUACGGACAACACUACGAAACUAGUCUUUAAAGGCGGAUUUAGCAGUAAGAUGGCUAUAAAACACCCAACUGAACAUAACGCAAUGAAGUGCGUACACACCGCCCGUCAUCCCUGCCACUAUAACACAACCAUAACUAAACCAACCAACAAAAUCAAACAGGGCAAGUCGUAACAUGGUAAGUGUACUGGAAAGUGCACUUAGAA
RNAcentral lists this non-coding RNA (909 nucleotides) under Bothriechis nigroviridis. Lineage: Eukaryota; Metazoa; Chordata; Lepidosauria; Squamata; Viperidae. The record is from RNAcentral.